AGGUUUUUACACGUUUGGGAUGCA
Molecule: non-coding RNA, 24 nt
Filed under: Arabidopsis thaliana (thale cress)
Lineage: Eukaryota; Viridiplantae; Streptophyta; Magnoliopsida; Brassicales; Brassicaceae
Source: RNAcentral